GCUCCUACGGGGCGCAGCAGUGGGGGAUAUUGCACAAUGGGGGAAACCCUGAUGCAGCGACGCCGCGUGGGCGAAGAAGUAUUUCGGUAUGUAAAGCCCUAUCAGCAGGGAAGAAGAAAUGACGGUACCUGAGUAAGAAGCACCGGCUAAAUACGUGCCAGCAGCCGCGGUAAUACGGAGGAUCCGAGCGUUAUCCGGAUUCAUUGGGUUUAAAGGGUGCGUAGGUUGUUUUAUAAGUUAGCGGUGAAAUACCGAUGCUCAACAUCGGGGCUGCCGCUAAUACUGUAGGACUAGAGAUCGGAUGC
RNAcentral lists this ribosomal RNA (305 nucleotides) under uncultured bacterium. RNAcentral describes it as "bacterial SSU rRNA". It matches the Rfam family "Bacterial small subunit ribosomal RNA", at positions 335 to 655 of the family's 1533-position model. The record is from RNAcentral.